Cricetulus griseus (Chinese hamster) is the source of this 109-nucleotide small nuclear RNA. Lineage: Eukaryota; Metazoa; Chordata; Mammalia; Rodentia; Cricetidae. The record is from Ensembl.
GUGCUUGCCCUGGCAUCACAUAAUCUGAAAUUACAACAAAACAGAAAAGAUUAGCUUGGCCCCUGUGCAAAACCCGAUUUUCUUCUUUCAUGUAAUGUCUGAAAGUAAU